GAUGAACGCUGGCGGCGUGCCUAACACAUGCAAGUCGAACGGAGCUGCUUUGAUGAAGUUUUCGGAUGGAUUUAAAACAGCUUAGUGGCGGACGGGUGAGUAACGCGUGGGUAACCCUGCCUCACACUGGGGGAUAACAGUUAGAAAUAGCUGCUAAUACCGCAUAAGCGCACGGUUCCGCAUGGAACAGUGUGAAAAACUCCGGUGGUGUGAGAUGGACCCGCGUCUGAUUAGCCAGUUGGCGGGGUAACGGCCCACCAAAGCGACGAUCAGUAGCCGGCCUGAGAGGGUGAACGGCCACAUUGGGACUGAGACACGGCCCAAACUCCUACGGGAGGCAGCAGUGGGGAAUAUUGCACAAUGGGGGAAACCCUGAUGCAGCGACGCCGCGUGAGUGAAGAAGUAUUUCGGUAUGUAAAGCUCUGUCAGCAGGGAAGAUAAUGACGGUA
Molecule: ribosomal RNA, 449 nt
Filed under: uncultured bacterium
Lineage: Bacteria
Description: bacterial SSU rRNA
Rfam family: Bacterial small subunit ribosomal RNA
Source: RNAcentral